Non-coding RNA from Pelobates cultripes (western spadefoot toad), 360 nucleotides. NCBI's taxonomy places the organism in Eukaryota, Metazoa, Chordata, Amphibia, Anura, Pelobatidae. The record is from the annotation of a GenBank genome assembly.
GGAACACCCACAUGAUACUGGUAUGGAAGACAGCCACUAAAGGUGGAAUUAACCCCCCAAAAACUGCAGUGUUUUCAGUUGAGGGUUAAAAGGUGAGGAGCACUGCAGCCAAACCCUUCAAAUUACUCCAUGGAGCUUAUGUCUACCUUGCACAUGGUGUACACAUCAGUUUCUUGGACACAGUGCUAAAUUCAUCAGAACCAACAAUGACCCUACAAGGACAUUGCUGGUUCUCAUGGUUAACUUGUGGUAAAAACGACAGUUUUCUAUACUGUGAUACUUAAGGCAGACGAGGUAUUGUACGAGUUGCAGUUUAAAAAGCUGACAAUCUGCCCUUUGGUCACCCCUGCUGUACACUGC